UCAAAACUGUCAAGCAUUUUACUUUGCACUCUUUAAAUAAUGAACUUGAUAUUUUUUUCUUAUACUCCGUCCAUUGUAUAAUAAUUUUUGGAAGUAAGUUUUAUUCACGACCUUCAUGUUCUAUUGCGUAAUGGUGUAUAUCCCUAUGCAUAUCGUUGUUCGUUCCAACUAUUUUCGAGAACAUAUAAUGUUUUCUUACAUUGAUAUUUUAGCGGACGUGAGUGCUUCUUUAUUAUGUAUUCAACUUUACUUAGAAUUUUUAAAUGGCUCAAUAACUCAACUGGCGAGUAUUAGAUUACUGCCUUUCAACUCUGGUACCGUAUAAUUGCCGUAUUUGAUUUUUUUCCCAAAUUUGCGUUGUAACGGUUUUUUACAUUUUUUAGCUGGUGAGAAUUUUGAAAUGGCUAGUUGAGUAAAAUGAUGACAUUUUUUUAAGCACGCAGAUGAGCAAUUUCUUUAAAAAAAAACAAUUGAUUGUUUUGAAAGGUAACCCGUUAAAAUCAUGCUUGAACAGAGCUUUUAAAAACUAUUUCAUCCCAAAAUAUAGGAUGAACUUCAAAUCGAGAAAAUUGGGAAAAAAGUAAAUUAAUGAAAUACAAAAUUCAUUCGUUUUCAUUAGGCAGAGGUCGACAGCGUAAUCCGAGCUCUUCAAUGGUGUUUGUCACUUCAACUUGUGUGUUUAUUAAGUUCGCUAUAGACAUUUGAAAUUGGACAACUUCCAAUUCAAGCUUUUCAAUUUCGAUAAUUUCUUUGUUUAUUUCGGUACGUGAAAGCCUUUGCAAAUAUCUUAGAUAAUACUUUGGUAUAAUAUUUUCUUUUUUUGGAUUAUUCUCAACAAUUAAUGUAGCGAGGCUGAAUAGAAGCUCGUUGUCAUUGGAAAAGUCUGGAUAAUUGUAGUUUUCUUUGUCAUUUCGUUUAGUAGUUCUCCUUCCUUUUAAUGCUUUUUCUGAUUCCCCUUGAAUCCAUCCUUUCAAAUUCCUAUCAAGUAGUCGAUUUUGUUGAAACCUAGAGUUAGAGUAAUCUCUCAAGUCCACAAUAUUGUUAAGCUCUUGCAUAUCAUUAAAGCAAUCAGAAGACUCGGAAGAUGCAACUGCAGGUUCUUUCACAUCGCAAACCUCCCCUUCUCUUUUGGAGUUACAAGUUUGAAGAAGGUUAUCUUUUAAAACUUCAGAGGCUUUUUUUUCAAAAAUCUUUGCCAGUCUUGUAGGCAAGAAUUGCACUGUUGUCUUAAAAAUUGCUUUAAUUCCGCGACGAAUACAAUAAAUAAAUUCCGCCCAGCACAACCGACGAUUAUGAAUAUGCCUAGCGAACGAAAAAAAGGAAAGUUCUUUUGAUAAAAUACUUAGAUUGUUUCGGAACGCGGAAACAUUAGGAACUGAGUUUCGAAUCUUAGAUAACAGUUGAAAGACUGAAUUAUGGGAUUGCGGUGGCUCUCUCUCGGAUUCACGUAUAUAAAUUUUCGUCAAAAAAAUAUUGACUUCCUUCUGCAAACUUUCUUCUGUAAUAUAUAGUUUUGUCUUUUGAUCGAAAUUAUCUUGUGACAUGCCUUCGACUUUAAAAUCUCGAGCUAAGAAGUCCAGUGAAUCGCUGUUUAAACGUAAUGAAGGACCAUCUUCUUCAAAAAAAUUCAAUGACAAGCCGCGCUUACAUUUGUCUUCACAGGGCUCCAUUUAUAAUGAGUAAUCAAUCCCAGAAUGCAGAUUUAAAAAUUAAUUAACUUCGGUAUUCUUUAGAAUUAUUUUAUAUCAUCUUUUUUUAAGCCUGCUUUGAUAAUUUUUAAAACAGAAUGGUUAAAAGAUGGUUUGUUUGCGGCGGUCAUUUUGACCUUGACAUGCGUUUGUUUACUCUCC
Molecule: non-coding RNA, 1850 nt
Organism: Schizosaccharomyces pombe (fission yeast)
Lineage: Eukaryota; Fungi; Ascomycota; Schizosaccharomycetes; Schizosaccharomycetales; Schizosaccharomycetaceae
Source: the annotation of a GenBank genome assembly